GAUCUUCCCGACCCAGGGAUCGAAUUCAUGUCUCCUGCAUUGGCAGGCAGAUUCUUUGCCACUGAGCCACCAGGGAAGCCUGGGGUGAUGUGUACAAGUGCACAAACAACAUGCUUGUGGGAAGCAAAGGAAGCUGCUCGAACAGAUACAUACUUCUUCGGCAGAGUCCAUCUUAUGUUAAUGAAAAGACGUUCUAAUGGGAGAAGUAAGGAAUACCAGGAAUGAUCAAAGAGAAAGGUGUGAGCAUGAAGCUGGAGGACAGAUAAAUGCAGACACAGAAAGGAAGAAUACAGGCCAAACAAACUGACUUCUAACAUUCCUAACUCAUCGCCACAUUCAGCGUCCCAGGCUUCUGAAUGCUUGCUUGAAUCAGAAUCCUGUCACUGCCUGUUCACUCAAUGUCAUCCUUUGUACCAUCAAGGACACUGGCAAUGUGGCAUUUCCUAACAGAAUCUGAAAGUACUGAAAGCUCUUGGGGCUGGACUCUGGCUUGCCUAUUUUUGAUUUCUACUUCAAGAAUACUGCCAAGCACGUGGUGAUUUCUCAUUUCCCCCACUCCCUUUCCCAUAAACAUUUGGUUCUGAGGGAUUAAAAGAGUGUUUCACUCUUCCUUCGCGGAUUUUAUUGCCAGCAACUGACACCCAUUUUUCAAGUCUGGACACUGGUGUUUUUGAUGUUCGUGGAUAAGUAUGCAAUGACAACUGCAGCCUGGCCAACAGACUGUGAGAAUCUUCAUUUUAUAAGAAGCAUCUUGAUUUCAUAGAUGUUGGUAAUAAGUCAACUAAGGUCUGAACUGACCCUUCUAGAGUUCAGCUCUGUUUGGUUUCAUUUGUAGGAAACACAGUAUACUAAUAGCCUUUGCAUUGCACCGAUUUUUCCCCCCAUAAUAACUUCAGAUAAAAUUACAUACUGUAUUUACUCAUUUAGUACAGAAUUCUAGAAUCUCCCUGGUGGUCCAGUGGUUGAGAAUCCACUGUCAAUGCAGAGGACAGGUGAACUAAUAUGCUUCUAUUUUAGCUUCUGGGACCAUGGUACUUCUACACACCAGGCUAGUCUAACUUCAACAUAGCUAUCUGCUACAGAGUAAGGUCAAGAAUGAUGGUGGAUUAUUGGUAAAAUACAGAGGGUGGGAGGAGUCUGGUAUAGGACAUAGUACUGCCAUAUCCUUUUUGGUGAUGUAACGUUACUGGUUUUCAUAAAACAGUAACAGCAAGUGAAACUUAUUGACCUGAGACAGCUCAGUAAAAUGAGUCUGAUUUUGGUAAAAGGCCCAGUUGCUGCUUGGGAAG
This is a long non-coding RNA of Capra hircus (goat), 1289 nucleotides long. RefSeq lists it as uncharacterized. The transcript has 3 exons. Lineage: Eukaryota; Metazoa; Chordata; Mammalia; Artiodactyla; Bovidae. The record is from RefSeq and is a predicted model, not a curated record.